AGUUCGAUCCUGCCCAGAUUGAACGCUGGCGGGAUGCUUUUACAAUACGCAAGUCGAACGGCAGCACGGACUUCGGUCUGGUGGCGAGUGGCGAACGGGUGAGUAAUGUAUCGGAACGUGCCUAGUAGCGGGGAUAACUACGCAAAGGUAGCUAAUACCGCAUGCCCUCCGGGGAAAGCGGGGGACCUCGGGCCUCGCACUAUUAGAGCGGCCGAUAUCGGAUUAGCUAGUUGGUGGGUAACGGCUCACCACAGUGACGAUCCGUAGCUGGUUUGAGAGGACGACCAGCCACUGGGACUGAGACACGGCCCAGACUCCGGGAGGCAGCAGUGGGGAAUUUUGGACAAUGGGAACCCUGAUCCAGCCAUCCCGCGUGCGAUGAAGGCCUUCGGGUUGUAAAGCACUUUUUGGCAGGAGAAGAAACGGCAUCGGGAUAAUACCCCGUGCAACUGAUUUGGUACCUGCAGAAUAAGCACCGGCUAACUACGUGCCAGCAGCUGCGGUAAUACGUAGGGUGCAAGCGUUAAUCGGAAUUACUGGGCGUAAGCGUGGCAGGCGGUUCGGAAAGAAAGAUGUGAAAUCCCAGAGCUUAACUUUGAACUGUAUUUAACUACUGAGCUAGAGUGGUGUCAGAGGGAGGUGGACCCGCGGUGGUGAAAUGCGUAGAUAUGCGGGGAGGAACACCGAUGGCGAAGGCAGCCUCCCGGGAUAACACUGACGCUCAUGCACGAAAGCGUGGGAGCAAACAGGAUGAUACCCCUGGUAGUCCGCCCUCAAACGAUGUCAACUAGCUGUUAGCCUUCGGGCCUUGGUAGCGCAGUUAACGCGUGAAGUUGACCGCCUGGGGAGUACGGUCGUGCAAGAUUAAACUCAAAGGAAUUGACGGGACCCCGCACAAGCGGUGGAUGGAUGUGGAUUAAUUCGAUGCAACGCGAAAAACUCCACUACCCUGACAUGUCUGGAACUGAAGAGAUUUGGGAGUGCUCGCAAGAGAACCGGAACACAGGUGCUGCAUGGCUGUCGUCAGGUGUCGUGAGAUGUUGGGUUAAGUCCCGCAACGAGCGCAACCCUUGUCAGUUGCUACGAAAGGGCACUCCCACGAGACUGCCGGUGACAAAAACCGGAGGAAGGUGGGGAUGACGUCAAGUCCUCAUGGCCUUGCGGUAGGGCUUCAUAUCAGUCAUACAAUGGUCGGGACAGAGGGUCGCCAACCCGCGAGGGGGAGCCAAUCCCAGAAACCUCGGGAUCGUAGUCCGGAUCGCAGUUCGCAACCCGACUGCGUGAAGUCGGAAUCGCUAGUAAUCGCGAUCGCGGUGAAUACGUUCCCGCCUUGGUGCCACACUGCCCGUCACACCAUGGGAGUGGGUUUGCCAGAAGUAGUUAGCCUAACCGUAAGGGAGGGCGAUUACCACGGUAGGAUUCAUGACUGGGGUGAAGUCGUAACAAGGUAG
RNAcentral lists this ribosomal RNA (1451 nucleotides) under uncultured Bordetella sp. RNAcentral describes it as "partial 16S-23S ribosomal RNA intergenic spacer". It matches the Rfam family "Bacterial small subunit ribosomal RNA". Lineage: Bacteria; Pseudomonadati; Pseudomonadota; Betaproteobacteria; Burkholderiales; Alcaligenaceae. The record is from RNAcentral.